GGCUAUCAUUUUUGGAUGAUCCCGCGGCGUCUUAGUUAGUUGGUGAGGUAAAGGGCCACCAAGAAGAUGAUAAGUUGCCGACCUGAAAGGGUUAUUGGCCACCUUGGGAAUGAGACCCGGCCCAAACUUCUUCGGGGGGCAGCCGUUGGGAAUUUUUCCCCAUGGAAGAAAGUUUGGUGGAGCAAUGCCGCGUGAGUGAAGAAGGGUUUCGGCUUGUUAAACUUUGUUGUUAAAGGAGGACCCCUUUGAGAGUAACUGUUCAAGGGUUGGCGGUAUUUAACCAGAAAGCCACGGCUAACUACGUGCCAGCAGCCGCGGUAAUAGGUAGGUGGCAAGCGUUGUCCGGAUUUAUUGGGCGUAAAGCGAGCGCAGGCGGUUUUUUAAGUCUGAUGUGAAAGCCUUCGGCUUAACCGGAGAAGUGCAUCG
Molecule: ribosomal RNA, 426 nt
Filed under: Levilactobacillus brevis
Lineage: Bacteria; Bacillati; Bacillota; Bacilli; Lactobacillales; Lactobacillaceae
Description: bacterial SSU rRNA
Rfam family: Bacterial small subunit ribosomal RNA
Source: RNAcentral